This is a non-coding RNA of Oryza sativa Japonica Group (Japanese rice), 563 nucleotides long. NCBI's taxonomy places the organism in Eukaryota, Viridiplantae, Streptophyta, Magnoliopsida, Poales, Poaceae. The record is from RefSeq and is a predicted model, not a curated record.
UUUUCAUGCCUUCAUUGUUACGGGAUAUGCUGCAUUUCAUCAGUUCAUUUUUACAUAAGGGUGUGGAACUACGAUCUGUAAUUGCCUUCCUGUUCUUUUCCUUUUGGCAUUGGUUCAGAUUAGCAAAGUGCUGCAGUUAAGAAGCUCAAGAAAAGACAUGACCGGUAACUGAAGAAAGGUGGAGAUGUUCUUUUCCUUUUGGCAUUGGUUCAGAUUAGCAAAAUGCUGCAGUUAAGAAGCUCAAGAAAAGACAUGACCAGUAACUGAAGAAAGGCGGAGAGAGGUUCUUCUUCUGUUUCUUGGUUCGCUCUCUCUGCCCACAGUGCAAGAGUGCCACCAAUAUCGGGCAACCCUCACCGUGUGACCUCGUCUCAUCUCACAAACGGCAUGAUUCACGGGGUGGACCAGUCAUUGGCUAUAGGUUCACGGUGAACCCACGGCGGCAGAUCCAGCACCACUACGGCAAGAUCUGGUUAGUGUAUGGAGGACCAAGCGUGGCUGCCCAUCAGAGAUGCUGCUCUGCUGCCUCUGCAUCUGCGGUUUCCUCACCAAUGCCGUGGCCC